AUAGUCUUGAGAGCACUGAUUGAUCCGU
This 28-nucleotide small RNA is filed under the name Bombyx mori (domestic silkworm). RNAcentral's name for it is "ovarian small RNA-12377". Lineage: Eukaryota; Metazoa; Arthropoda; Insecta; Lepidoptera; Bombycidae. The record is from RNAcentral.